RNAcentral lists this ribosomal RNA (253 nucleotides) under uncultured bacterium. RNAcentral describes it as "partial 16S ribosomal RNA". It matches the Rfam family "Bacterial small subunit ribosomal RNA", at positions 524 to 776 of the family's 1533-position model. The record is from RNAcentral.
UACGUAGGUGGCAAGCGUUACUCGGAAUCACUAGGCGUAAAGCGCAGGUAGGAGGUUUAGUAAGUCUGUUGUGAAAGCUCCCGGCUUAACUGGGAGAGGUCAACGGAAACUGCUAGGCUAGAGUGCGGUAGAGGAAGGUGGAAUUCCUGGUGGAGCGGUGAAAUGCGCAGAGAUCAGGAGGAACACCCGUAGCGAAGGCGGCACUCUGGGCCGAUACUGACGCUGAGGAGCGAAAGCGUGGGGAGCGAACAGG